GCAGUCGAGCGGACCGACGGGAGCUUGCUCCCUUAGGUCAGCGGCGGACGGGUGAGUAACACGUGGGUAACCUGCCUGUAAGACUGGGAUAACUCCGGGAAACCGGGGCUAAUACCGGAUGCUUGAUUGAACCGCAUGGUUCAAUCAUGAAAGGCGGCUUCGGCUGCCGUUUACAGAUGGACCCGCGGCGCAUUAGCUAGUUGGUGAGGUAACGGCUCACCAAGGCGACGAUGCGUAGCCGACCUGAGAGGGUGAUCGGCCACACUGGGACUGAGACACGGCCCAGACUCCUACGGGAGGCAGCAGUAGGGAAUCUUCCGCAAUGGACGAAAGUCUGACGGAGCAACGCCGCGUGAGUGAUGAAGGUUUUCGGAUCGUAAAGCUCUGUUGUUAGGGAAGAACAAGUACCGUUCGAAUAGGGCGGUACCUUGACGGUACCUAACCAGAAAGCCACGGCUAACUACGUGCCAGCAGCCGCGGUAAUACGUAGGUGGCAAGCGUUGUCCGGAAUUAUUGGGCGUAAAGCGCGCGCAGGCGGUUUCUUAAGUCUGAUGUGAAAGCCCCCGGCUCAACCGGGGAGGGUCAUUGGAAA
RNAcentral lists this ribosomal RNA (592 nucleotides) under Bacillus sp. CH402_13C. RNAcentral's name for it is "bacterial SSU rRNA". It matches the Rfam family "Bacterial small subunit ribosomal RNA", at positions 57 to 632 of the family's 1533-position model. RNAcentral also lists the same sequence under 1 other name. The record is from RNAcentral. Lineage: Bacteria; Bacillati; Bacillota; Bacilli; Caryophanales; Bacillaceae.